Marmota monax (woodchuck) is the source of this 2090-nucleotide long non-coding RNA. RefSeq lists it as uncharacterized. The record is from RefSeq and is a predicted model, not a curated record. The transcript has 2 exons. Lineage: Eukaryota; Metazoa; Chordata; Mammalia; Rodentia; Sciuridae.
ACCAUAUGAUCUCACUCAUGGGUGGAAUGCAAAAAGAAAUGAAGAGGAGAGCUGUAACCAGGGGCUGGGGAAAGUAGUAGAGAGGAGGAAAUGUUGAUCAGCAGAUACUAAAUUACAGUUAGAUUAUAAGAAGAUCUGACGUGCUAUUACACGGAAGGGUGACUAUAAAUAGUGAUCGUGUGUUACAUGUCCUUAGAAGAAAGGAUUCUGAAUGUUUCAAUAUAAAAAAGGUAAAUGUUUGAGGACUUAGAUAUGUUUAACCUACCAAUGUGUACAUAUAUCAAACAUCACAUGGUAUCUAUUAAUAUGUACAGUUAAAAUAUGUCUAAUAAAAAAAUACAAGCUUUGGUUACAAUUGGCAGGUUAGUCUCAACUUUCCAUCAUCCACUCGGUAUUUAUCACACCAAGAAACUCUUGCAAGUACUCUAAGAAUUGCUUGACUCUCCGUCUUUCCUGGCCACACUUUUUCUGUAAAAAUAAUAGACAAUUGAAGAAAACUGUCAGUUUCUGUAGAAACAGGCACAGCCAGACAAAUACAAUUCCCAUAGAAAUGUUCAUAACUUACUUUUUGGAUGUCAAUGUAUUUUUUCAUUAAAGACAAGUUUUGGAAUAGUCUUUCCACAGCAUCGCCUUGUGCAGUUUGAUUCUUCAGCGUAUCUAUUCCCUGAAAGAUUUCUUCAAUGCAUAGUUGGUGCUAAAUGAGGAAGAUUUAAAAAGACUUAAAAGAAUGAGAGCCAACCAAGAGUGGCUCUUAAUUUUCAAUGUAAUUAAACUUCACAGGCAAGCCAGGCAUGGUGGUGCAAAUUAUCAAAACACGAUAUAAAAGUUGGGUCUAUUGCAUAACACUCCUAUGUUCCACUGUAGAACAUUCCUAUAUGUGAAUACAUGACUGGUGUAACUCCACAUCAUGUAUAACCACAAAAUUGGGAAGUUAUACUGCAUGUAUGUAUGAUAUGUCAAAUACAUUUACUGUCAAGUAUAACUAAAAAGAACAAAUAAUAAAAAUUAAAAAAACUUUGUCAUCCCACAAUGUAUACAUAUUUCAAAACAUAAUAUUAGAAACAAUAAAUAUACACAAUUUUAAUUUGUCAACUUUAAAAAAUCAGAAAAAAAAAAUCUGGUCCCAAAAGUUAGGCUUCAUUUUAUGGCAUUUGUUCUCCUCCAAAGAGUUUUAUUGCUUGUUUCUUUCCCAAGUGGCAAACUACCUCAUGCUGAGAAAAUCAUCAACAGAUAGAUGAAGCUUUUUAAUUACUGAAGAGCAUUACAAAAGUUAUUAAGAAAUUACACAAGGGCUGGGGUUUUGACUCAGCGAUGGAGCACUCGCCCAGCAUGUGCGGGUCACUGGGUUUGAUCCUCAAUACCACAUAAAAAUGGAACAAAGACAGAGGACACCAAUAGAAGAGUAACUAUGGUAUUUUCAAGAUUUGCAGAGACAUUCAACUGCCAGCUUUUACAACCUCCUGCUCCAGAGCCCGAGAGCAGCACCUAGAAGUCUCCAGUCAUUGCCCCACCCCUUCCAGAGGCAGUGAAGAUUGCAAAGAUCACCCCAAGGUGGGACUACUCCCCUAAGCAGGAAUAAUUAUUUAGGGGAACCAAAUUGCCCCCUUUCAAUAUCACAGAUCUAAUAGAUGAACACCCAAGCAGCAAAUAGAGAUCGCUCCCUCAAAUACUAAGGGCUUCCUGGAGCCAUUCUGCAUCACCAGGAUUGAGAUAAUAAUGUUCAACUUGACCAAGACUUUUAAAUUAUGCAUAUCUCUCACCCCCUGCCUGAAUUCUUCCUCCAUUUAAACCUAAAGUUCUUAUCAGUAUCCCCAAGACAGGGCUGAGACACUUGAUGUACAGUUCCUUGCCUACUCUUCAUCAUUAUUUUUUCCGUUUGAUUUUUGGGGUGAGUGACCAGACCUGAUUUAUUUGGACCCCCAGAGUUGAGCCUCUGAUCUAGGUCUCCAGUACAGUACUUUUAGAAUGAUAUUAGACAGAGGGCUGGGGCUGUGGCUCAAUGGUAGAGCGCUUUGUCUAGCAUGUGCGAGGCAGUGGGUUCUAUCCUUGGCACCACAUAAGAAUGAAUAAAUAAAAUAAAGGUAAUGUUA